CACGUAGUUGGCCGGUCCUUCUUCUGCACCUACCGUCACUCUCGCUUCGUCGGUGCUGAAAGAGGUUUACAACCCGAAGGCCGUCAUCCCUCACGCGGCGUUGCUGGAUCAGGCUUUCGCCCAUUGUCCAAUAUUCCCCACUGCUGCCUCCCGUAGGAGUCUGGGCCGUGUCUCAGUCCCAGUGUGGCCGGUCACCCUCUCAGGCCGGCUACCCGUCGUCGCCUUGGUGAGCCACUACCUCACCAACAAGCUGAUAGGCCGCGAGCCCAUCCCUCUCCGCCGGAACUUUCCACCACCCCACAUGCAUGAGGCAGUCAUAUCGGGUAUUAGCCAGCGUUUCCACUGGUUAUCCCCCAAGAGAAGGGCAGGUUGCUCACGUGUUACUCACCCGUUCGCCGCUCGUGUACCCCCGAAAGGGCCUUACCGCUCGACUUGCAUGUGUUAAGCACGCCGCCAGCGUUCGUCCUGAGCCAGGAUCAAACUCU
RNAcentral lists this ribosomal RNA (485 nucleotides) under uncultured Actinomycetales bacterium. Its description in RNAcentral is "partial 16S ribosomal RNA". Lineage: Bacteria; Bacillati; Actinomycetota; Actinomycetes; Actinomycetales. The record is from RNAcentral.